AUUGAACGCUGGCGGCAUGCCUUACACAUGCAAGUCGAACGGUAACAGGUUAAGCUGACGAGUGGCGAACGGGUGAGUAAUGUAUCGGAACGUGCCCAGUCGUGGGGGAUAACUGCUCGAAAGAGCAGCUAAUACCGCAUACGACCUGAGGGUGAAAGCGGGGGAUCGCAAGACCUCGCGCGAUUGGAGCGGCCGAUAUCAGAUUAGGUAGUUGGUGAGGUAAAGGCUCACCAAGCCGACGAUCUGUAGCUGGUCUGAGAGGACGACCAGCCACACUGGGACUGAGAAACGGCCCAGACUCCUACGGGAGGCAGCAGUGGGGAAUUUUGGACAAAGGGCGCAAGCCUGAUCCAGCCAUGCCGCGUGCGGGAAGAAGGCCUUCGGGUUGUAAACCGCUUUUGUAAGGGAAGAAAAGGUUCUGGCUAAUACCUGGGACUCAUGACGGUACCUGAAGAAUAAGCACCGGCUAACUACGUG
Molecule: ribosomal RNA, 477 nt
Filed under: uncultured bacterium
Lineage: Bacteria
Description: partial 16S ribosomal RNA
Rfam family: Bacterial small subunit ribosomal RNA
Source: RNAcentral